AGAGUCCUGAUGUGUUCGUUGGUAAUCCUGAAGUUUUGACCGAACAACAAUAACUUCGGGAGCCUGGCGUUUCUGGGCUGAGUAAAUGCCUCCUUGAAGAGGACUUACAUAAGUCCGGAACAAGGCACCCACCUGCGGAGAGCGGGUUCAAAACGAAGGCAUCAAAACGACGGCACGAUUGGGACUCUA
Molecule: non-coding RNA, 189 nt
Filed under: Bacillus methanolicus
Lineage: Bacteria; Bacillati; Bacillota; Bacilli; Caryophanales; Bacillaceae
Also listed under: 1 other name
Description: 6S RNA
Rfam family: 6S / SsrS RNA
About the family: E. coli 6S RNA was the first non coding RNA to be sequenced, but its function was unknown until recently. It consists of 184 nucleotides that fold into an extended hairpin structure with a large single-stranded internal bulge. The 6S RNA specifically associates with RNA polymerase holoenzyme containing the sigma70 specificity factor.
Source: RNAcentral